UUGCGUUUCAAGCUCGGUCGUCUUGAGGAACAACUUGAUGUGUUUUGGAAACAGAGGGCUCAUGUGGGCUGGCUGACGAAAGGAGAUCGAAAUACGGAGUACUUUCAUGGUUUUGCCUCGACACGGAAGAGAGCCAACCGAAUCACAAAGCUAAGAGGAGAUGAUGGGGUGGAGGUAGAAGAGGAGGAGGGUUUGAAGGCCCUCGUUUCUAAUCAUUUCUUUGGCUUGUUUACCCCCAUGGCAGGUACAAACAUUGAAGAAGUUCUUCAACAUGUUCAACUGCGAGUCACACCCGAAAUGAACACUUUUCUCCGGAAUGAAUACACAGCCCAGGAGAUAAAG
RNAcentral lists this ribosomal RNA (342 nucleotides) under Triticum aestivum (bread wheat). RNAcentral describes it as "partial small subunit ribosomal RNA". Lineage: Eukaryota; Viridiplantae; Streptophyta; Magnoliopsida; Poales; Poaceae. The record is from RNAcentral.